Puntigrus tetrazona (Sumatra barb) is the source of this 1220-nucleotide long non-coding RNA. RefSeq lists it as uncharacterized. The transcript has 4 exons. Lineage: Eukaryota; Metazoa; Chordata; Actinopteri; Cypriniformes; Cyprinidae. The record is from RefSeq and is a predicted model, not a curated record.
GGGCACUACAUCAGUUAUGUCCAUGACGGAUCUGAAUGGCUUAAAUGCAGUGACAACUCCAUCAAAAAAUCCAGCUGGACAAAGGCGUCAAAAAAAAUGGGAAAGAAUGGCUACAUGCUCUUCUACGUGAAGAGUUGAGCGGCGACUGGUUGAGUGUUGGAGAGGAAAGGCUGGAAGACCGACUGGAAGUUUUCACUGUCCUGCUGUAAAAGUAUGGGUCAGUUAAUUAAACAUCUGCCCUCUGCUGGCCAGGUAUUGAACACUCAGCUAAAAUAUUCUGAAAGACAAGGGUGCCGAGAUAAGACAGUGAUACAAAUAAAAGACUAAAACAACAGAAAAAGAGCAAGAGGAAGAAUAAAGAUGAGCCAGGAAAGAGAGACUGGACGAUGGUGCCGUUGGGAAGGAGCAACAUUUUAGUGAAGAUCAUUCUGUGGCUGACAGUCUCUGUCUCUGAUUUCAAAUGUACUUUGAAAUCACACAAUAAAACUAAACAAUGUUAGAAAAUAACAAUAUAAUAAUGACAUUUGUGUAUAGAUAGGUACAAGAAAUGAUGAUAUGAUUACAAUAAAAUUGUGAUGAAUUAAUAAAGAAAGAAUGAAUAAAUAAAAAGAAAGAAAGAAAAUGAAACAUAAUUGUUUGGUGACUCUCUUUCAUCAACUCACUUUUAAUCCACAUAAGUCUACGAAGAAGACGCUUAAUAAAGAAGAAAUAAAAAUAGAAAAUAUAUUAUCUCCAUCAUGAGCGCUUCACAACUUCUAAGGUAUGACUUUUUUCUGUGGAAAGCCACCUGCAUAUGUCUCAUGCACUCAUUUUGAUUGAAGUGAUUGUAUAAUAACAUGUAAAAUGCUUUACAUCUUAUUAUAUUUUCAUGCAUGUAAUUAAUUGAAUCUUGCAAUAAGGUGAAAACAUUUAUGAAAUUAAAUAACGAAUCGAUAAACUUUUGGAAGAACCUUUUGUGGAUUAGAAAUGCUUGGUUGUUCAAAGUUCUUCAAGGAAAGUUCUUCAUAGAAAACAAAGAAGAACAUUCAACAAUUAGGCUGUGUAACAAAUAGAUCCUCACUGAAAAGUACAGGCACAAGAAAAACAAAGUUCUUACAUUGGCUAAUACUGACCUCUAGUGUAAAAAAGAAAAAAAAUCUCAGCAGAAGGUUUGUGCAAUAAAUAAAUACAAUGUUCAGAUUCACAUCCAUAAAGCAAAACCAAUUUAAUUCAAGCUUGUG